RNA transcript from Pistacia vera, 2412 nucleotides. It is a transcript of the gene named pentatricopeptide repeat-containing protein At1g66345, mitochondrial-like, with no coding region annotated. NCBI's taxonomy places the organism in Eukaryota, Viridiplantae, Streptophyta, Magnoliopsida, Sapindales, Anacardiaceae. The transcript has 5 exons. The record is from RefSeq and is a predicted model, not a curated record.
GAAAGCUGUUUGAGAGAAAAUGGAGAAUAAGAGAAAGAGGUAUGACAGAUUUUAGUUGCUCUGCCCAAGUGAUGUUAGAGCUUGUAGGGUAUGACAAAUUUAGUUGCCCUUCCCGUGUGAUAUUCGAGCUGUCGGGUAUGAUAGAUUCUCCUUGCUCUGCCUGUGUGUGGGAUGCCGACCAGGUUGUUGCAGGACUUAGCAGGUCAAUACUUGAAUUGUAGAAGUUGGUCAAUGUGACGUACACUACAAAGAAGUUAUUUGUAUACUCAAGUUAGUGAGUUCAUCAGUUGUCACAUAGCCAUCUAGUCAGUGUUUUGCAGGUCCAUCCUGGAUUUUUUGAGGAGGAGAUCCAGACGGGUUCUGUCAGCGGUGGUUUGGAUUUGUGGUUGAUAGACUUUUCUGGGUUGAAGAAGAGAUUGAGGGAGAGUUGACAGAAGUGAAAUGACUUUGAUGUGUCCAUGGUUUUGCUAUUAGUGCCCUUGAUGUGUUGCAACAGACUUGCUCUCUGUUCAUCUGUAACAAGUUGUCUUGGACCAGAUUUCUACUAUUAAGUUGGACCAAAUUUUUUUCUUUUAAAGAGAAUUUAUCAAUUUUGGGAGUGAUUAAAGAAUGUCUCAGUAAAUGGAUCCACGUUAUCAGAAUCAUGAAUGCACUUCGUCAAAGAACUCACUCUUUAGUCUGCAUAUCACUCAACACCUCCAAAUUCAUUCACAUUUCCACAAAUUCAAAGAGCAGCACACUUGUCAAUGCCAUGUGUGAUUCUUUAAGACGAGGCUCGAAUUGGGACACUCUUACCAAGCAAUUCUGUUCUGUUGAGUUAAACCAUUCUAUUGUUGAGAAAGUCUUGCUGAAACUAAAGGACCCAGUUGAUGCUAAAUGCGCUUUGGGUUUCUUUCAUUGGUCAGCCCAAAGGAAGCACUAUCAACACAACCUUUGGUCUUAUUGCGCCACAAUUCAUGUUAUGGUCAGAGCCCGGAUGCUCAUUGAUGCUCGUGUGUUGAUUGAAUCAGUUUUGAAGAAACAUGUGGAGGAUGAUUCAAGAUGCUUGGUUAUUGAUUCAUUGUUUCGUACUUAUGAAGUUAUGGAGUCAAGUCCACUUGUGUUUGAUUUGUUGGUUCAGGCCUAUGCUAAAAUGAGAAUGCUUGAGGUUGCUUUUGAUGUUUGUUGCUACUUGGAAGAACAUGGGUUUUCUUUGAGUUUAAUAAGUUUCAAUACUUUGAUUCAUCUUGUUACAAAAUCUGAUAAAAGUUGUCUAGUGUGGAGUAUCUAUGAGUAUAUGCUGCAAAAGAGAAGAUACCCAAAUGAAGAGACAAUCAGAAGUUUAAUAAGUGCAUUGUGCAAGGAAGGGAAGUUGCAAACUUAUGUGGACAUGUUGGAUAGGAUUCAUGGGAAGAGAUGUUCUCCUUCAGUGAUUGUUAAUACCAGUUUGAUUUUUAGGAUUAUAGAGGAGGGACAAACUGAAGGUGGUGUGCUACUGUUGAAGAGAAUGUUACAAAGGAACAUGAUUCUUGAUACAAUUGCUUACUCAUUAGUUGUUUAUGCAAAGGUAAAACUUGGGAAUUUGGAGUCAGCAUUGGAAGGCUAUGAAGAAAUGCUUAAGAGAGGAUUUAGUGCAAAUUCUUUUGUGUAUACUACAUUUAUAGGAGCCUAUUGUAGAGAAGGGAAAAUUGAAAGAGCAAAUUUCUUGUUGCAAGAAAUGGAAAACAUGGGUUUGAAGCCAUAUGAUGAAACCUUUAAUCUUAUAAUCGAGGGUUGUGCAAAGGUAAAUAGAGUGGAAGAAAGUUUAAGUAACUGUGAGAAAAUGAUGGGGAGAGGACUUCUUCCCAGCUGUUCAGCUUUCAAUGAGAUGAUAGGAAAGUUAUGUGAGACUGGGAAUGCAGAACAGGCCAAUGCAAUGCUAACUCCCUUAUUAGAUAAAGGGUUUCUACCUAAUGAAAUCACAUACUCUCAUCUUAUAGCUGGUUAUGCCAAAGCACACAAGAUUCAAGAAAUAUUGAAGCUUUACUAUGAGAUGGAAUCCAGACUACUUACUCCAACAUUGCAGGUUUUCUCAUCAUUGAUAAGGUGCCUUUGUCAAUGUGGGAAAGUAGAUAAAGCAGAUAAGUAUUUAAGAGUAAUGAAAAGCCGAUCACUAGUUCCAGGUGUGGAAAUCUAUGAGGCAUUGAUUGCUAGCCACAUUCAAAAGGGUGAUAAAACAAGAGCUCUUCACCUUCAUAAUGAGCUGAUUUCUAAGUGAUUGAAAUCUAGUUGUUCAUAUUUCUAUGGUGCUACUACAGAAAGAGCAAUGACUUCUUGACCGUCGCAACAACAGUCCUUGGAACUCUGUUUGGGAUGUAGCUAUUGCAGUAAACCCUAAGAGGUUUGUUAUGCUAGUUUUCACAAUUACCUGGAAUCAAUAUCUAGAGUCAUUUU